Molecule: long non-coding RNA, 1624 nt
Organism: Schistocerca gregaria
Lineage: Eukaryota; Metazoa; Arthropoda; Insecta; Orthoptera; Acrididae
Exons: 3
Source: RefSeq, a predicted model, not a curated record
UAAUAGUCUCGCCCCGACGUCAUUUUCGUGGCUCCAACAUCUCUGGGCUGAAGUCACGUGAAUGUUGGCAAAACACGGUUGUUUUGUGUUGCGCUUAUGGCUGAACUCAGCGUUUUGUCGGGGAAAAUGGCAUUACAUUUCACGUGUUCCCUAAGGAUGAAAACCGAAGGCAGCUUUGGAUACAGGCCCUGAAGCGGAAAAAAUUUACGCCAUCUGCACAAACGCGCCUUUGCUCGAAGCACUUCGAGGAGAAAUGUUUUGAUAAGUUAGUUAUUAUUUACAAUGUAUACUUAUAAUUUGUAUUUACAAUGUUUGUCAUUUUUAAACCUGAUGUUUUUAUAGGGCUAAGACUGGAGGGAAUUGGCUAAGAAGUGAUGCUAUCCCGACACUUUUCGAUUUUCCGGAGCAUAUGAAAUCGAAGAGCCCUAAGCUCAGUAAAUUACACACUAGAAGGCGUUAGAUGAUGCCUCGUCUUCUGAAAUCUGUGCUUCUAAUGCCUUGACGUUAUGCGAUAUGGAAACGAACAACCCGAAAAACAAAAGUUUCGGGUAUAUUUGGGACUUUUCGAAUAGCUAUUUGUGUACUCCUGGCAUAGCAGAAAAAGUGAUAGAUGUGGCAAGACGGCAGAUUAGCAUCAAAGCCAGAAAAUUGAAGAAUUUGCAGCGGUAAUCUCGUGGGAUGAAGAAGAAAGUCUUGUCUUUGGAAUCUUUGAUAAAUAAUCUUGAAAAUAAUCGUGUUGUAAAUGAAUCCCUGGCUAAUUUACUAAAGGCAAGUAUAUUUACAAUGCCUGUCAUUUUUAAAAUGUAUGACUGAUUGCAGGUUGGAAUACUUAUGCUUAAAUGAUGUGGCUUUUUGCUAUCAGAUGUUGCCACCCGGUACUUCGGAGUUGCUCCAACAUGUCAGUAAAGGUAAAGAAGCAAAUAUGUAUCCAGCAGCUCUUCGGACCUUUGCUCUAACACUAAAUUUUUACAGUAGCAAGGCAUAUAGCUAUGUAAGGAAAAAUUUUAAAACAUCACUGCCACAUCCACGAACAUUAAGAAAAUGGUACAGUGUUGUUGAUGGGGAUCCUGGUUUCAGUAAAGAAGCAGCAAUAGCACUUAGAAUAGUCAGGAACUCAUUAGCAAAGGUAAGAAACUGCUUUGUGCCAUGUCAUUUGAUGAGAUUGUCAUAAGGAAGCAUGUUGAAUUUUGUGGAAAUAGGUUUAUUGGUUACAUAGAUUAUGGUACAGAUCUUGACAAUGACAAUCUGCCUGUUGCAAAUGAGCCGUUAAUAUUCAUGUUGACUGCUGUUAAUGGUUCAUGGAAAAUUCCAAUUGUCUAUUUCUUAGUCAAUGGCCUGGGUGCUGUUGAAAAAUCAAAUCUACUUAAGGAGGCUUUGAAAUUUACAUAUGAUGCUGGAGUAGAAGUAAUUUCUGUUACUUUUGAUGGUGCUCACAUAAACACUGCAAUGGUAGACAAGUUAGGGGCCUGUCUUUCAACGUGCAGAAUGAAAUCUUUUUUUUAAACACCCUCUAUGUAAGGAUGAUGUUCGCAUAUUCCUUGAUCCAUGUCACAUGUUCAAGUUAAUACGCAAUACAUUAGCUGGUAAAGGUGUCAUUUUCGAUGGAAACAGAAAUCCAGUAAAA